GCCGGCAUAGCUCAGUGGUAGAGCGGCACCUUCGUAAGGUGUAGGCCGAGAGUUCGAUCCUCUCUGUCGGCU
Ectocarpus siliculosus is the source of this 72-nucleotide transfer RNA. It matches the Rfam family "tRNA". Rfam says of the family: Transfer RNA (tRNA) molecules are approximately 80 nucleotides in length. Lineage: Eukaryota; Phaeophyceae; Ectocarpales; Ectocarpaceae. The record is from Rfam.